UACGUAGGGUGCAAGCGUUAAUCGGAAUUACUGGGCGUAAAGCGUGCGCAGGCGGUUAUGUAAGACAGGUGUGAAAUCCCCGGGCUUAACCUGGGAACUGCAUUUGUGACUGCAUAGCUAGAGUACGGUAGAGGGGGAUGGAAUUCCGCGUGUAGCAGUGAAAUGCGUAGAUAUGCGGAGGAACACCGAUGGCGAAGGCAAUCCCCUGGACCGGUACUGACGCUCAUGCACGAAAGCGUGGGGAGCAAACAGG
Molecule: ribosomal RNA, 253 nt
Filed under: uncultured bacterium
Lineage: Bacteria
Description: partial 16S ribosomal RNA
Rfam family: Bacterial small subunit ribosomal RNA
Source: RNAcentral